Long non-coding RNA from Homo sapiens (human), 1545 nucleotides. Ensembl annotates it as long intergenic non-protein coding RNA 3000. The record is from Ensembl. Lineage: Eukaryota; Metazoa; Chordata; Mammalia; Primates; Hominidae.
AGGUAAAAUGCCAGAGAUCACUCAUGUAAGAAGGGAAUUGAAGCACCUUGAAAAGGAUAAGAAAACUUCAACAUUACAACGAUGUUUCAUAUCAUUAGGCUCAAAUUAAGUAAAUAACAGAAUCCUAAGCUGAUGACACAUCCUGGGUUUGCACUAAUCAUAAUUUGCAAUCUCCAUCAUUGUCAUCAGAACCUUUUUGCCUAGCAACAUUCCUGCUGCUGCUUCUGUUCCGACCCUCUGGGUGCAACUGAAGGAGGAGGCAGUCAAAAGGAAAAACACAAAUAUCUCCAAGAUGGCACUUACAAAAAGCAACAACAAUGACAAAGUAUAAAUACAAACACACACCUUGAAGUUUAUGUUCUUACUCAAAUGCAAGCAUCAACAAUGGCCUACUGUCAGCAAGUUAAAUGGCUGGGGCUGUUUCAGUCUCCCAUUACAUGAAGCACAGAAUCUUCUGGAGAGGAAAGAAGAAACCAUGUCUAGACAAGGUGCUGGAAAGACCCAGGGAAGACACAGGCUUUGGUAUCAGGAUGAUGCUGGCCUCACAAAAUGAGUUAGGGAGGAUUCCCUCUUUUUCUAUUGAUUGGAAUAGUUUCAGAAGGAAUGGUACCAGCUCCUCCUUGUACCUCUGGUAGAAUUCGGCUGUGAAUCCAUCUGGUCCUGGACUUUUUUUGGUUGGUAAGCUAUUAAUUAUUGCCUCAAUUUCGGAGCCUGUUAUUGGUCUAUUCAGAGAUUCAACUUCUUCCUGGUUUGGCCUUGGGAGGGUGUAUGUGUCGAGGAAUUUAUCCAUUUCUUCUAGAUUUUCUAGUUUAUUUGCGUAGAGGUGUUUAUAGUAUUCUCUGAUGGUAGUUUGUAUUUCCGUGGGAUCAGUAGUGAUAUCCCCUUUAUCUUUUUUUGUUGCGUCUAUUUGAUUCUUCUCUCUUUUCUUCUUUAUUAGUCUUGCUAGCGGUCUGUCAAUUUUGUUGAUCUUUUCAAAAAACCAGCUCCUGGAUUCAUGGAUUUUUUGAAGGGUUUUUUGUGUCUCUAUCUCCUUCAGUUCUGCUCUGAUCUUAGUUAUUUCUUGCCUUCUGCUAGCUUUUGAAUGUGUUUGCUCUUGCUUCUCUAGUUCUUUUAAUUGUGAUGUUAGGGUGUCAAUUUUAAAUCUUUCCUGCUUUCUCUUGUGGGCAUUUAGUGCUAUAAAUUUCCCUCUACACACUGCUUUGAAUGUGUCCCCGAGAUUCUGGUAUGUUGUGUCUUUGUUCUCGUUGGUUUCAAAGAACAUCUUUAUUUCUGCCUUCAUUUCGUGAUGUACCCAGUAGUUAUUCAGGAGCAGGUUGUUCCGUUUCCAUGUAGUUCAGUGAUUUUGAACAAUUCUUUCACUUAAAAAAAAAUGAAGACACAACAAAUAUGACAUAAUGAGACCAAUCAUGAAUUACGGUUGGUGAUAGGUGGAGUUUUGCUAAGUUAGUCUCUGUAGUUUUCAGUUUUCUUUUUAUCUCUCAAAAUGCUCAAUUGAAAGAGUAAUAGGACAUGGAAGCAUUUAUUUAAUAAAUAAUUUCAACUAAA